AAAUUUUAUAUUUUAUUUCCUUGUAUGUCAAGAAACAUAGCUCCUAUGGCUAAAAUAGAACAUAGGAGAAAAUGAUUAUUUUUUUGGCUUUUGAAGAAAAUAGGACGAUCCAAAAAACAUUUAAAUAAAUUGAAAAGCCAAAAUAAUCAUUGAUGAGAGAUUUAACCAAAAGAAUUAAGGUGAGUGAUUCAGGCUCUUGAGAGCCUCUUGUUAAACAAUGUAAGAUGAGUAUAGACUGUUUGUAUAAGCAUUUAAUAUACUCUUUACCAUAGGGUGUACAAGCAUAAGAGAAUAUACUGUAUGUAUCAUUUUACACAUAAUCAAGAUUUUAAUAACGUAGCAUACAUCUGUUAAUUCGCAAAUAUCUUACUAAAACUAUACAAAUGGAAGAAAACUAUUAAAUAUUGGGAAGAAAACCAUAAGGCCAACAAAAACUAUUAUAGUAAUUCCUUGUUAUCAUUAGUUUUGCAAAUUGAAAUUUCGUCUCACAAGAUGACAACUGUUUUUACCUAUUAAAAUGUGUGAGGAAAUCAGGUAUUUGAUAGGUGAUUUGCUGUUGUUGUUUCCAUGAACACACAUAUCUUUUUUUUUUACUUUCUUGAAUGUUUCCUUACAAACAAAGUUACUGAUCCAUUUUUUAAAGAAUUCAGCAACAAUAAAUAUUUAAAGAAAAUUAACUAUGAAGAUUUCAAUGUACAGUUGAUGAUGUAUUACUUAGGCUGGUAUCAUUACAUUCUUAACACUUUGUUUUUAACAUCAUUCCACCACUUUGAAAUGCAGCUUUUAGGUGCGAUUAAUCAAAUACUCAUAUUUAAAUAAUGUUUGUUCAUAUAACUUUUCAAAAUAUUUCAGAUACAUGGCUUGAUCUGUAAAAUUGCUUUUCUAUUUGUGCACUGCCAUAUUAUUUAUCAAUGAAUUAGUUUGUUAUAUAUGUAUUAAAUGAAGUGUUUGUGUUAUUGUUAUGUCAUCUUAAUCAAGAUGUGUUAUGAAG
This 991-nucleotide long non-coding RNA is filed under the name Mytilus galloprovincialis (Mediterranean mussel). The record is from RNAcentral. Lineage: Eukaryota; Metazoa; Mollusca; Bivalvia; Mytilida; Mytilidae.